CAGCCGCCGCGGUAAUACGGAGGGCGCGAGCGUUGUCCGGAUUCACUGGGCGUAAAGCGUGCGCAGGCGGCCCGUUAAGACAGGUGUGAAAUCCCUGGGCUCAACCUAGGAAUUGCGCUUGUGACUGGCGGGCUCGAGUACGGUAGAGGGGGGUGGAAUUCCUGGUGUAGCAGUGAAAUGCGUAGAGAUCAGGAGGAACACCGAUGGCGAAGGCAGCCCCCUGGGCCUGUACUGACGCUCAUGCACGAAAGCGUGGGGAGCAAACAGGAUUAGAUACCCUGGUAGUCCACGCCCUAAACGAUGGGUACUAGCCGUUUGGUGCGCGAUAGCGCUGAGUGGCGAAGCUAACGCAUUAAGUGCCCCGCCUGGGGAGUACGGCCGCAAGGUUGAAACUUAAAGGAAUUGGCGGG
Molecule: ribosomal RNA, 410 nt
Filed under: uncultured microorganism
Description: bacterial SSU rRNA
Rfam family: Bacterial small subunit ribosomal RNA
Source: RNAcentral